Molecule: long non-coding RNA, 346 nt
Filed under: Cyanistes caeruleus (blue tit)
Lineage: Eukaryota; Metazoa; Chordata; Aves; Passeriformes; Paridae
Description: lncRNA (ENSCCEG00000024072.1)
Source: RNAcentral
CAGCAUUAUUUAAAUGUUCCCAGCAUUAUUAAUGUCAAAAUACCUUGGAGUGAAAGAGCAGCAGUUUUUCUGGUAUCGAGAGGGGUUGUUUUCCUUUGCUUGCCUCCCUUCACAGUGGAUUGAACAGAGGAAUGGGGAAUCAUCAAGAACAGGUCCUGCUACAUGGGAAUUGCUUGGAGUCCAGAGGAAGAAGCAGCUCAGAGCGAGGACAGGGCUCGGAGAGAGGCUCUGCAAGGAUCCAAACUGGAAGUACUCUGAGCUCGUGCAAAGGAUGUCUCUGAAAAUUGAAAAUAUCUCUGCUCAAUACAAGUAAAAUACAAAUCAGAGACUGCUUGAAGGUGAGAAC